Molecule: transfer RNA, 72 nt
Filed under: Camelus bactrianus (Bactrian camel)
Lineage: Eukaryota; Metazoa; Chordata; Mammalia; Artiodactyla; Camelidae
Also listed under: 2 other names
Rfam family: tRNA
About the family: Transfer RNA (tRNA) molecules are approximately 80 nucleotides in length. Their secondary structure includes four short double-helical elements and three loops (D, anti-codon, and T loops).
Source: Rfam by way of RNAcentral
GAGGGUAUAGCUCAGUGGAAGAGUGCAUGCUUAGCAUGCACAAGGUCAUGGGUUCAAUCCCCAGUGCCUCCA